RNAcentral lists this ribosomal RNA (302 nucleotides) under uncultured prokaryote. RNAcentral describes it as "partial 16S ribosomal RNA". The record is from RNAcentral.
CCCUAUGGGGCCUGCCGGAUGUGUCUGGUCUCGAUCCCUUAUAAGGACGGAUCAAAAAAAAUUGUCACAUCCUGUGAUACAACCGUUGAAGAGGGGAUGGCUAUACUCACAGAUUCGGAUGAAGUAAUGGAUGCUCAGGCGGAUAUGGCUGAUUUUUUGCUUUCUCUUUGCCCAAACCUUCCCAGUAUUCAAAAGCUUGCUGCAACGUAUGGAAUCCAUGAAUCCACUUAUAUCUCAGAAAACAAAAAAGAAAACUGUAUUUUAUGCGGCCAAUGUGUUCAGGCCUGCCAUACAAAAGGGAA